Molecule: RNA transcript, 984 nt
Organism: Xenia sp. Carnegie-2017
Lineage: Eukaryota; Metazoa; Cnidaria; Anthozoa; Malacalcyonacea; Xeniidae
Gene name: alpha-1-inhibitor 3-like
Exons: 5
Source: RefSeq, a predicted model, not a curated record
AAUCUUGCAUGUUUGUAAACCAUUUACUUUAAUACAAUCUUGUUCGUGCAUGAUUUGAGUCACAAGAUGGCAUACUGUGAGGUAAAGCAAAACAGUAUUAUAUUUAAUCUUAGAUUACGUGCAUUGGGAAGUAAUACAAACAACAUUUUCGUUGUAUUUUCAGGAUACUUGUGUUGCUUUACAAGCUUUAGCUAUCUUUGCUGGAAAAGCUUACGGAUCCAAUGCUGACUUUAGAUCAACUUUGUUAUCAGGAUCAUUGAAGAUGGGCAACUAUUAUAAACAUGACUUUAGUAUUACACAGGAAAACAAACUAACAUUACAAAUGAUUGAGUUACCAGCAAAAAUAGUUCCUGGAAAACUGAACAUAUCAAGUCAAGGCAAAGGUUGCGCUUUAACACAGGUUUCAUUGAAGUAUAAUGUACCAGAACCUGAAGAUGUUCCAGCAUUUGAAAUCAAAGUUAAUGUUCGUACUCGACGAUCUUUACCAGAAGAAGCAAACUCAGCUUGUUAUCCACUUAAACUUGAAAUCAAAGUAAAAUGGUUGAAAGAAGAUGUUUCCAAUAUGGCCAUAGUCGAUAUCAAUUUGGUGACUGGGUGCAGCGUGAUUGAAGCUUCUUUGAAGAGGCUGCAAGAUGAUAAAAAUUUGAACUUCAAACGUUAUGACAUCGAUGGACAAAAUGUUCAACUUUACUUUGACGAGGUUUGUCAAAAGGUUUGGUCGAUCACCUUUAUCAUCUGAGAUAACAAUUAUUGAUUUUAAUAUUUGCAGAUAAAGAAUAUUACUUUCUCCAUUAAUAUACACCAAGACACUUUGGUAAAAAAACUAAAACCUGCAGUUGUUAAAGUUUAUGAUUACUAUGAACCAGGUAUGGAGUAAAAUAACGUCGUAAUAAAUGUUCUUAAUUUGAUGCAUUUGCUUUUUGUUAAUGUAGAAAAUCAAGCAAAAGUUAUGUAUAAGAUAAGAGAGGCUGAUUGCUAUGGAAA